This is an RNA transcript of Rhododendron vialii, 741 nucleotides long. It is a transcript of the gene named protein NONRESPONDING TO OXYLIPINS 2, mitochondrial-like, with no coding region annotated. The transcript is spliced from 4 exons. NCBI's taxonomy places the organism in Eukaryota, Viridiplantae, Streptophyta, Magnoliopsida, Ericales, Ericaceae. The record is from RefSeq and is a predicted model, not a curated record.
CACUAAGUAGUCCUCAACUGAAAAAUUUCUCCUCUGGCACACCUUUCAUGCGCAAAGUACUGCCCCUUGAACCCUAACCCAACAAAACCUUCAACCUUGCUCUAAGGGAGAGAAAAUGGCAUGGCGUGGUUCGCUUUCUAGAUCCCUCGUAUCAACCGCCAGAUCAUCAACCCUCCGCGCACCGCCACCACUCCCCCGCGUCCGUCCUCCGCCGCUCGCCUCCCCUCGCCGCCUCUCAUUCGCUAAUCCAAGGAAUUUGGGAGAGUUAGGAUGUGUUCAAUCCCUUCUGCCGCUGUACAGCGUGGUUGCCGGAGUUCGCCUCACUUCGCACUUGGUCGUCGAUGCGCGGGCUUGCUGCGAGCUGUAUAACGGUACCUCCCGCCGCAUUUGUCAGGAUCGCUAGUAGUCUCUUUGUAGGAAUGGAAAAGAUGGUUGAUGCACGACGCACUCGGUGAUUAAGAGACGGGACAAUGAUGCCACGUUGUACUUGACCACGAGAGGGAUCAGCAUGGUGGGUGCUAUCCAUAAAGUUCGGGCAGUCAUAGCAAGUCAGUGUAAUCAAGUGGAAUGUUUACAUUGAGAGUUGGAAAAACUAAUAACCUUAUUGUCUUUUGCGCUCUAGCCUUAUUUUCUUUUGCUCUCUAGCAAACUCAAAAUUUCCCAACUUUUGCUUGGUCAACACAUGCACAUCUCCUUCUUGUGAAAACCUACAUCUGUUUUUGUAGUAUUCUUUCUGGAUUC